This 2336-nucleotide long non-coding RNA is filed under the name Homo sapiens (human). RNAcentral's name for it is "HSALNT0190198". The record is from RNAcentral. Lineage: Eukaryota; Metazoa; Chordata; Mammalia; Primates; Hominidae.
GGGUAGAGGCCGACGCGCGCCCAUUGGCCGACUCGGCUGCGGGCGUCCCCGUGGCCACGUGACAAUAACACCGCUCCAGCCGGGGGCCUACGCGCGGGAGAAAGUGGAGCUGAGAUUGUAGGAAAUUCAGAGUUAUAUUUUCCAGCCUCUCCAGCCAGAAGUCUCCACUACGUCGUGGGAAACAUAUAUCAAAUGGAGUUGAAAGGCAAAAGGAAGUGAUCAGCGCCACAAGAUGUUGAAACUAAUGGAGACCGCAGAGAUCAUGUGCUAAGGGGCCUUCCUCCUCUGGGGUGGGAGAAGGAAUGUUCUCUGGAGAAAUCUGUAUGAUAGAAUAGUGAAGGUAACUGGCCUGAACUACAGCUCUUGAGCCAUCUGGUUUCACCUUCAGGGAGCCUAGGCUACAGAAUGAGAUGCACGUAAGAAGUCUGUGACCUGGACCAGAGCAGCCCAGCUGAACACAUGCUGGAUUGGAAGAACCACCUUUGACCUGAAGACCUGUGAGUGAGAAUAAAUGCUGUUUGAGAAAGGAGUUUGGAGACAGAAAGACGGAAGAGUUGAUAUUCCGCUCACAGAUGUCAAUUUUCAAAGAAAUUUCUGCCCAUUAUGGAUGCACCACAAAUACUAAAGUCUAUGCAAUAUAUAUUUUGAAAAGAAUUUUUUUCGUGAAACUGUAAUUUUCGUUCAUAAGAGUAUAUUUCCUGACUUAGCAUUUUAUUGACUAGAUUAAAAUUUUGUUCCCCAAAGUAAGUGUGUGUGUGUGUGUGUGUGUGUGUGUGCACGCACACGUGUGUGUGCAUUCCUGAGGAUUAUUCUAAGGCUGAACUCCUUCAUAGAAAUGGAAUUUUUCUCUCUAUGCUCACAUUUUAAAACAGCUCACACAAGCCAGGCAGAAACUGCCAACCCCUUGGUUUCUAAUUCUUUGUGCUAGUUCUAUUAGAAGGGGCAAGUGUAAUCUGACAAUGGGAAACAAUACACCCUUUCUCAUAUUCUUUAUCAACAUACAUAAACUGGAAGAAAGAAAAAGAAAGAGAGGGGUACAGAGGGAGGAAAGGAGGAAGAAAAAAGAUAGGAGGGGAAGUAGGAAGAGAGGAGAAGGGGACUGUAGUGGGGGAAAGAGAGGAGAGACAGAAUCUUUCCACUAAAGUUAGCAUCUGAGAGAGAGGCCCACGGAAUUGAUUUUUUUUUUUUUAUCCCUUUGGCAAACCAGCAUUUGGUCUUUGCUUUGGUUAUCCUGAGAUAGUGCUUUGUUUACCUGAGCUAGCUGGCCAUCUCAGCUGUGACAAUUUAAAAUUAGGCCACUAUUUAUAAUUCAAGCUAUGUGUAAACAAAACAAAACACAAUACAACCAAUGAAGGAGGUUUGUUUGUUUGUUUUUUUAAAAGGUAGGGGCAUUUUGUAAAUCAGACAGAGAUAGCUUUCUUGAAUAAAAUGACAUUUUUAGUUAUUUCUUUGUCUUGAACUUUCUCCUGAGACACCUUCUGGCUCACUAGUCACGAGGAACUGAAGAGGAACUGAAGGAAUUCUAAACAUCCCCAAAGCCUCUAGUGAUUCUCCAGAUGUGUCUUUUCAAGAGGCUGGCGACUUGUAGGGAGGGUGGAUAUACCUUAAUUAUUCAGUCACUUUUAACGUUUUACCUAAACUAUUUGUCAAAUAAGUAGUUUUUGCAUUGCUUUAACUGUAUACAGCCAUCAUUUGAUUAUACAUUCUAUCAAAGAUUGAUUGCCUGAUUUCAGGUUUAAUUUUAAGAUUUAAAUGACUGACUCCUUAGCUUGCUCAGUUGUAUUCUUUGUCUCUGAUUACUUACUCCAUAGAACACUGCUUACCUUUAAAUAAAAUGUAUUAAACUCCUUUGUUUUCAGAAUCUCUAAUAUUCAUGCCUAUUGGGGAUUCAUACCCUAAUAACUUGGGCUACUAGUCUGUCAUAAAAUAUAAACUCCAGCCAUAUUAAAUAUGGUAGACUUGCCCUAAAAGUCAGAUUUAUACCUUCAAUAUACCAUGGAAUUUGUAAUACAAAUAAAUUCCUUUUUUUAUAUUGGUUUUAAAAUAAGAAAUUGUAGUCUCUUGAGUUCUAGAGUUUCUGUAAGAACAACAGAAGGAAUGCUCAGCUAAUGUUUAGUACCCAUAUGCUUCAUUAAAGUGACCAGAUGUCCUGCAUUUGUCAAGGGAAAAGGGGAAUUGUUUUCUUCUCUCUCAAAUAUCUCCUUCAAAAAGUCUAUCAUGGAUACAUUUUGUGCCUUCACUGCCCUUUUUAAAUAAUUAUUAUUCAUGCCUUACUAUAAGAACAUUACAACUGGUAACAAACUGCUUUUAAACUUGGGGUUUCAGAUUUUCUAAAG